RNAcentral lists this ribosomal RNA (470 nucleotides) under uncultured Pseudomonadota bacterium. RNAcentral's name for it is "bacterial SSU rRNA". It matches the Rfam family "Bacterial small subunit ribosomal RNA", at positions 8 to 522 of the family's 1533-position model. The record is from RNAcentral. Lineage: Bacteria; Pseudomonadati; Pseudomonadota.
AGAGUUUGAUCCUGGCUCAGAACGAACGCUGGCGGCAGGCCUAACACAUGCAAGUCGAACGCUCGUAGCAAUACGAGAGUGGCAGACGGGUGAGUAACACGUGGGAACCUUCCCUAUGGUUCGGAAUAGCUCAGGGAAACUUGGGGUAAUACCGGAUAAGCCCUUCGGGGGAAAGAUUUAUCGCCAUUGGAUGGGCCCGCGUCGGAUUAGCUAGUUGGUGAGGUAACGGCUCACCAAGGCAACGAUCCGUAGCUGGUCUGAGAGGAUGAUCAGCCACACUGGGACUGAGACACGGCCCAGACUCCUACGGGAGGCAGCAGUGGGGAAUAUUGGACAAUGGGCGCAAGCCUGAUCCAGCCAUGCCGCGUGAGUGACGAAGGUCUUCGGAUUGUAAAACUCUUUUGGCGGGGACGAUAAUGACGGUACCCGCAGAAUAAGCCCCGGCUAACUUCGUGCCAGCAGCCGCGGUA